AUUUAUUCAUCACCCACACACUUGAAUUUAUCACCAAACAAUGUACGAAUCCCUGUUUGUUUGUGCUGUGUUUAUGCAGGGAAUCUCAUGCGUGAGAAUGGAGAGAAUAUUGGAGCUGUGUGUUUAUGCAGGGAAUCUCAUGCGUGAGAAUGGAGAGAAUAUUGGAGCUGCAUUGGCUCUGGCAUAGGCAUGGCACGAGCAUGGCACGGGCAUAGGCAUGGC
Molecule: long non-coding RNA, 222 nt
Filed under: Phaseolus vulgaris (common bean)
Lineage: Eukaryota; Viridiplantae; Streptophyta; Magnoliopsida; Fabales; Fabaceae
Description: long non-coding RNA (PVUL_LNC000817)
Source: RNAcentral